GGGGAGUUCACCCACAUUACUGGCAGGUCAGUCUGGUUUUAAUAUUCUGCCCUGAAUUUACUCACCUUUUUUCCCAGCCAGUCUUGCCGUGGCUGGCCCAGCCUCCAUGUCAGAGAUUAUCAAUCUUGAUGAUCUUAGCCAAUCCACUGCUUUCCCAUUAUAAAGUAUUAAGAGGGUUUUGCGCAUGCACGCUAAAAGGUACUGCACACUGUUUAGC
Non-coding RNA from Pelobates cultripes (western spadefoot toad), 217 nucleotides. Lineage: Eukaryota; Metazoa; Chordata; Amphibia; Anura; Pelobatidae. The record is from the annotation of a GenBank genome assembly.